This 429-nucleotide ribosomal RNA is filed under the name Bacteroidota bacterium. RNAcentral's name for it is "Bacteroidetes bacterium partial 16S ribosomal RNA". It matches the Rfam family "Bacterial small subunit ribosomal RNA", at positions 355 to 776 of the family's 1533-position model. Lineage: Bacteria; Pseudomonadati; Bacteroidota. The record is from RNAcentral.
UAGGGAAUCUUCCGCAAUGGGCGAAAGCCUGACGGAGCAACGCCGCGUGAGUGAUGAAGGUCUUUGGAUCGUAAAACUCUGUUAUUAGGGAAGAACAAAUGUGUAAGUAACUAUGCACAUCUUGACGGUACCUAAUCAGAAAGCCACGGCUAACUACGUGCCAGUAGCCGCGGUAAUACGUAGGUGGCAAGCGUUAUCCGGAAUUAUUGGGCGUAAAGCGCGCGUAGGCGGUUUUUUAAGUCUGAUGUGAAAGCCCACGGCUCAACCGUGGAGGGUCAUUGGAAACUGGAAAACUUGAGUGCAGAAGAGGAAAGUGGAAUUCCAUGUGUGGCGGUGAAAUGCGCAGAGAUAUGAAGGAACACCAGUGGCGAAGGCGACUUUCUGGUCUGUAACUGACGCUGAUGUGCGAAAGCGUGGGGAUCAAACAGG